RNAcentral lists this ribosomal RNA (253 nucleotides) under uncultured bacterium. RNAcentral's name for it is "partial 16S ribosomal RNA". It matches the Rfam family "Bacterial small subunit ribosomal RNA", at positions 524 to 776 of the family's 1533-position model. The record is from RNAcentral.
UACAGAGGUCCCAAGCGUUGUUCGGAUUCACUGGGCGUAAAGGGUGCGUAGGUGGCCAGGUAAGUUUGAUGUGAAAGCUCGGAGCUUAACUCCGAAAUGGCAUUGAAUACUAUCUGGCUUGAGGGUCGGAGGGGAGACUGGAAUUCUCGGUGUAGCAAUGAAAUGCGUAGAUAUCGAGAGGAACACCAGUGGCGAAGGCGAGUCUCUGGACGACACCUGACACUGAGGCACGAAAGCUAGGGGAGCAAACAGG